RNAcentral lists this ribosomal RNA (3149 nucleotides) under Bacillus cereus. RNAcentral describes it as "23S ribosomal RNA". It matches the Rfam family "Bacterial large subunit ribosomal RNA". Lineage: Bacteria; Bacillati; Bacillota; Bacilli; Caryophanales; Bacillaceae. The record is from RNAcentral.
GGUUAAGUUAGAAAGGGCGCACGGUGGAUGCCUUGACACUAGGAGUCGAUGAAGGACGGGACUAACGCCGAUAUGCUUCGGGGAGCUGUAAGUAAGCUUUGAUCCGAAGAUUUCCGAAUGGGGAAACCCACCAUACGUAAUGGUAUGGUAUCCUUAUCUGAAUACAUAGGGUAAGGAAGACAGACCCAGGGAACUGAAACAUCUAAGUACCUGGAGGAAGAGAAAGCAAAUGCGAUUUCCUGAGUAGCGGCGAGCGAAACGGAACAUAGCCCAAACCAAGAGGCUUGCCUCUUGGGGUUGUAGGACAUUCUAUACGGAGUUACAAAGGAACGAGGUAGACGAAGCGACCUGGAAAGGUCCGUCGUAGAGGGUAACAACCCCGUAGUCGAAACUUCGUUCUCUCUUGAAUGUAUCCUGAGUACGGCGGAACACGUGAAAUUCCGUCGGAAUCUGGGAGGACCAUCUCCCAAGGCUAAAUACUCCCUAGUGAUCGAUAGUGAACCAGUACCGUGAGGGAAAGGUGAAAAGCACCCCGGAAGGGGAGUGAAAGAGAUCCUGAAACCGUGUGCCUACAAAUAGUCAGAGCCCGUUAACGGGUGAUGGCGUGCCUUUUGUAGAAUGAACCGGCGAGUUACGAUCCCGUGCGAGGUUAAGCUGAAGAGGCGGAGCCGCAGCGAAAGCGAGUCUGAAUAGGGCGUUUAGUACGUGGUCGUAGACCCGAAACCAGGUGAUCUACCCAUGUCCAGGGUGAAGUUCAGGUAACACUGAAUGGAGGCCCGAACCCACGCACGUUGAAAAGUGCGGGGAUGAGGUGUGGGUAGCGGAGAAAUUCCAAUCGAACCUGGAGAUAGCUGGUUCUCCCCGAAAUAGCUUUAGGGCUAGCCUUAAGUGUAAGAGUCUUGGAGGUAGAGCACUGAUUGGACUAGGGGUCCUCAUCGGAUUACCGAAUUCAGUCAAACUCCGAAUGCCAAUGACUUAUCCUUAGGAGUCAGACUGCGAGUGAUAAGAUCCGUAGUCAAAAGGGAAACAGCCCAGACCGCCAGCUAAGGUCCCAAAGUGUGUAUUAAGUGGAAAAGGAUGUGGAGUUGCUUAGACAACUAGGAUGUUGGCUUAGAAGCAGCCACCAUUUAAAGAGUGCGUAAUAGCUCACUAGUCGAGUGACUCUGCGCCGAAAAUGUACCGGGGCUAAAUACACCACCGAAGCUGCGGAUUGAUACCAAUGGUAUCAGUGGUAGGGGAGCGUUCUAAGGACAGUGAAGUCAGACCGGAAGGACUGGUGGAGUGCUUAGAAGUGAGAAUGCCGGUAUGAGUAGCGAAAGACGGGUGAGAAUCCCGUCCACCGAAUGCCUAAGGUUUCCUGAGGAAGGCUCGUCCGCUCAGGGUUAGUCAGGACCUAAGCCGAGGCCGACAGGCGUAGGCGAUGGACAACAGGUUGAUAUUCCUGUACCACCUCUUUAUCGUUUGAGCAAUGGAGGGACGCAGAAGGAUAGAAGAAGCGUGCGAUUGGUUGUGCACGUCCAAGCAGUUAGGCUGAUAAGUAGGCAAAUCCGCUUAUCGUAAAGGCUGAGCUGUGAUGGGGAAGCUCCUUAUGGAGCGAAGUCUUUGAUUCCCCGCUGCCAAGAAAAGCUUCUAGCGAGAUAAAAGGUGCCUGUACCGCAAACCGACACAGGUAGGCGAGGAGAGAAUCCUAAGGUGUGCGAGAGAACUCUGGUUAAGGAACUCGNNNNNNNNNNNNNNNNNNNNNNNNNNNNNNNNNNNNNNNNNNNNNNNNNNNNNNNNNNNNNNNNNNNNNNNNNNNNNNNNNNNNNNNNNNNNNNNNNGUGAAGUCUUUGAUUCCCCGCUGCCAAGAAAAGCUUCUAGCGAGAUAAAAGGUGCCUGUACCGCAAACCGACACAGGUAGGCGAGGAGAGAAUCCUAAGGUGUGCGAGAGAACUCUGGUUAAGGAACUCGGCAAAAUGACCCCGUAACUUCGGGAGAAGGGGUGCUUUCUUAACGGAAAGCCGCAGUGAAUAGGCCCAAGCGACUGUUUAGCAAAAACACAGCUCUCUGCGAAGCCGUAAGGCGAAGUAUAGGGGGUGACACCUGCCCGGUGCUGGAAGGUUAAGGAGAGGGGUUAGCGUAAGCGAAGCUCUGAACUGAAGCCCCAGUAAACGGCGGCCGUAACUAUAACGGUCCUAAGGUAGCGAAAUUCCUUGUCGGGUAAGUUCCGACCCGCACGAAAGGUGUAACGAUUUGGGCACUGUCUCAACCAGAGACUCGGUGAAAUUAUAGUACCUGUGAAGAUGCAGGUUACCCGCGACAGGACGGAAAGACCCCGUGGAGCUUUACUGUAGCCUGAUAUUGAAUUUUGGUACAGUUUGUACAGGAUAGGCGGGAGCCUUUGAAACCGGAGCGCUAGCUUCGGUGGAGGCGCUGGUGGGAUACCGCCCUGACUGUAUUGAAAUUCUAACCUACGGGUCUUAUCGACCCGGGAGACAGUGUCAGGUGGGCAGUUUGACUGGGGCGGUCGCCUCCUAAAGUGUAACGGAGGCGCCCAAAGGUUCCCUCAGAAUGGUUGGAAAUCAUUCGUAGAGUGCAAAGGCAUAAGGGAGCUUGACUGCGAGACCUACAAGUCGAGCAGGGACGAAAGUCGGGCUUAGUGAUCCGGUGGUUCCGCAUGGAAGGGCCAUCGCUCAACGGAUAAAAGCUACCCCGGGGAUAACAGGCUUAUCUCCCCCAAGAGUCCACAUCGACGGGGAGGUUUGGCACCUCGAUGUCGGCUCAUCGCAUCCUGGGGCUGUAGUCGGUCCCAAGGGUUGGGCUGUUCGCCCAUUAAAGCGGUACGCGAGCUGGGUUCAGAACGUCGUGAGACAGUUCGGUCCCUAUCCGUCGUGGGCGUAGGAAAUUUGAGAGGAGCUGUCCUUAGUACGAGAGGACCGGGAUGGACGCACCGCUGGUGUACCAGUUGUUCUGCCAAGGGCAUAGCUGGGUAGCUAUGUGCGGAAGGGAUAAGUGCUGAAAGCAUCUAAGCAUGAAGCCCCCCUCAAGAUGAGAUUUCCCAUAGCGUAAGCUAGUAAGAUCCCUGAAAGAUGAUCAGGUUGAUAGGUUCGAGGUGGAAGCAUGGUGACAUGUGGAGCUGACGAAUACUAAUAGAUCGAGGACUUAACCAU